ACACACACACACACACACACACACGGAUAAUAUUCUGCAGUUUUCUGGUUAUUAAGUUAAAUUGGGGUGUCAAGGCAGAGGCUGUCACACAUUUUGCUUACGAGGUUAAGGUCUUAGUUCAGGAAAUUUCAAUAGUGUUUCCAUCUCAUUCCCCUUUUUGUUGCCUCAGUUUACGAAAUAUCAAUAGGUUUUUGCAUCGUUUUAUACCAGUUAUUGCCUCGGUUCAUGAAAUAUCAGUUGCUUUUUCUUCUUUUUACAGGAUUUGGUGCCUCAGUUGACGAAAUAUCAAUAGGUUUUUCAUCUCAUAUCAUUCUCUGUUGUCUCAGUUAACGAAAUAUCAAUAGGUUUUUCAUCUCAUAUCAUUCUCUGUUGUCUUAGUUAACGAAAUAUCAAUAGGUUUUUCAUCUCAUAUCAUUCUCUGUUGUCUCAGUUAACGAAAUAUCAAUAGGUUUUUCAUCUCAUAUCAUUCUCUGUUGUCUUAGUUAACGAAAUAUCAAUAGCUUUUUCAUCUUAUAUCAUUCUCUGUUGUCUUAGUUAACGAAAUAUCAAUAGCUUUUUCAUCUCAUAUCUUUCUCUGUUGUCUUAGUUAACGAAAUAUCAAUAGCUUUUUCAUCUCAUAUCUUUCUCUGUUGUCUUAGUUAACGAAAUAUCAAUAGGUUUUUCAUCUCAUACCAUUCUCUGUUGUCUCAGUUAACGAAAUAUCAAUAGGUUUUUCAUCUCAUACCAUUCUCUGUUGUCUUAGUUAACGAAAUAUCAAUAGGUUUUUCAUCUCAUAUCACUCUUGUCUCAGUUAACGAAAUAUCAAUAGCUUUUUUUUUUUCUCUCAUUCCACGCUUAGUUUCCUCAGUUUCAUAAGCUUCAAUAACGUUAGCCUCUUUUUUCCCUCUUCGUUUGCCUCAGUUUAACAAAAUCUCAAUAGCUUUUUAAUUUCGUUCCCCCUCCAAGCCUCACUUCAUCAGGUAUCCCCAAGAACAAGCUAUUGGUGUCUCCCUUAUCGGUAUAUAUCUCAGGUAUUCGAUGGGACAAUAGCUAUGUAGAUCUCGUGUUGAUAAGAAGACGAAUAAGGGGAGGCUUGUGAUAUAUGUGUCCCAUGACGAAAGUAAUGUAGAUAAGAGGGCAUUGACGUAUAAGGAGUUGGUUUAUCCCUGGGAACAGAUUAGGAAAGGCUUAUUUUGAUAGGCUUAUCUUGGUGCUGGUGAAUGAAGGAGUCGAUUGUAAAAGAUGUUCAUGAUUGAGAAGAACAGAUACGAGAUAGAAAAAACCCUAAUAUGAAAGUGAAAGAGAGAAAAUAUGUAGAGAGAUUAAUUUACACAAGAGUAGAAGAAAUAAGUAUUGUAAAGAGAUUGAUGAUUAGAGGAACAGAUAAGAGAAAAACGGAAAGAAAAAACGAUUCCCAACAUGAAAGAGAAUAAUAAAAAGAAAGUAGAGAACAUGAAUUUACACACAAAAGUAGAAGAUGUAAGGAAAAGAAGAAAGAGAAAGGCAGAAACACAGAGAGAAGAAAGUAGAAAAGAAGGGAAAAUAAAGAAAAAAAAACAAC
This is a long non-coding RNA of Eriocheir sinensis (Chinese mitten crab), 1540 nucleotides long. RefSeq lists it as uncharacterized. The transcript is spliced from 2 exons. The record is from RefSeq and is a predicted model, not a curated record. NCBI's taxonomy places the organism in Eukaryota, Metazoa, Arthropoda, Malacostraca, Decapoda, Varunidae.